RNAcentral lists this ribosomal RNA (406 nucleotides) under uncultured bacterium. Its description in RNAcentral is "partial 16S ribosomal RNA". It matches the Rfam family "Bacterial small subunit ribosomal RNA", at positions 28 to 526 of the family's 1533-position model. The record is from RNAcentral.
GAUGAACGCUGGCGGCAGGCCUAACACAUGCAAGUCGAGCGAGCGGCGGACGGGUGAGUAAUGUCUGGGAAACUGCCUGAUGGAGGGGGAUAACUACUGGAAACGGUAGCUAAUACCGCAUACCAUCGGCUUUGCCCAGAUGGGAUUAGCUUGUAGGUAAGGUAACGGCUCACCUAGGCGACGAUCCCUAGCUGGUCUGAGAGGAUGACCAGCAACACGGGAACUGAGACACGGUCCAGACUCCUACGGGAGGCAGCAGUGGUGAAUAUUGCACAAUGGGCGCAAGCCUGAUGCAGCCAUGCCGCGUGUAUGAAGAAGGCCUUCGGGUUGUAAAGUACUUUCAGCGGGGAGGCGUUACCCGCAGAAGAAGCACCGGCUAACUCCGUGCCAGCAGCCGCGGUAAUAC